Molecule: unclassified non-coding RNA, 339 nt
Filed under: fungal sp.
Lineage: Eukaryota; Fungi
Description: partial internal transcribed spacer region
Rfam family: Eukaryotic small subunit ribosomal RNA (bases 1-46)
Source: RNAcentral
AAGUCGUAACAAGGUCUCCGUAGGUGAACCUGCGGAGGGAUCAUCAUAGAAAAACAAAAACUUAUGAGAGUGGGUGGGUGAGUGGGUGGGUGGGGGAGAAAGGAAAGCAUAAUACUCUGCAUUCCUUUCUUCUGCUUCUGCCUGCUUGUUGCCUUCUCUUAUCAAACAAACGAUCGCAACUAUAUAGAGGAGAAUGUGUGGGUUGGUUGGUUGGAUAUGGAUUGGAUUGGAUUGGAUGAAAGAAAAAGUGUUUGCCUGAUAUUGGAAAUGCCAUUGAUUUGAUUGAUGGUUGGAGAAAUGAGAAUAUACAACUUUCAACAACGGAUCUCUUGGCUCUCA